UGGGGAAUAUUGCACAAUGGGCGGAAGCCUGAUGCAGCCAUGCCGCGUGUGUGAAGAAGGCCUUAGGGUUGUAAAGCACUUUCAGUUGGGAGGAAGGGGUAGUGCCUAAUACGUACGACCAUUGACGUUACCAACAGAAGAAGCACCGGCUAACUCCGUGCCAGCAGCCGCGGUAAUACGGAGGGUGCAAGCGUUAAUCGGAAUUACUGGGCGUAAAGCGCACGCAGGCGGUUGAUUAAGUUGGAUGUGAAAUCCCCGGGCUUAACCUGGGAACUGCAUUCAAGACUGGUCAGCUAGAGUCUCGUAGAGGGGGGUAGAAUUCCACGUGUAGCGGUGAAAUGCGUAGAGAUGUGGAGGAAUACCGGUGGCGAAGGCGGCCCCCUGGACGAAGACUGACGCUCAGGUGCGAAAGCGUGGGGAGCAAACA
RNAcentral lists this ribosomal RNA (427 nucleotides) under uncultured bacterium. Its description in RNAcentral is "bacterial SSU rRNA". It matches the Rfam family "Bacterial small subunit ribosomal RNA", at positions 355 to 774 of the family's 1533-position model. The record is from RNAcentral.